Molecule: ribosomal RNA, 781 nt
Filed under: uncultured organism
Description: bacterial SSU rRNA
Rfam family: Bacterial small subunit ribosomal RNA
Source: RNAcentral
ACGCUGGCGGCGUGCUAACCAUGCAGUCGAGCGAGAGGCUCCCUCGGGGGGUACAUCAGCGGCGAACGGGUGAGUAACACGUAGGGUGACUUCACCCAAGACGGGGAUAACUCUUGGAAACAGGGGCUAAUACCCGAUGUGCUCAGCAGUUCAUUCUGUUGAGUAAAGCUAUGGCGCUUUGGGAUGGGCCCGCGGNCCAUCAGCUAGUUGGUAGGGUAAAGGCCUACCAAGGCUAAGACGGGUAGGGGGCGUGAGAGCGCGAUCCCCCACACUGGCACUGAGACACGGGCCAGACUCCUACGGGAGGCAGCAGUGAGGAAUAUUGCGCAAUGGACGAAAGUCUGACGCAGCGACGCCGCGUGGGCGAUGAAGGCCUUCGGGUCGUAAAGCCCUUUUCUGGGGGAAGAGAAAGGACGGUACCCCAGGAAUAAGCCCCGGCUAACUACGUGCCAGCAGCCGCGGUAAAACGUAGGGGGCAAGCGUUAUCCGGAUUUACUGGGCGUAAAGAGCGUUGAGGCGGUUUUGUAAGUUGGGCGUGAAAGCCCUGGGCUUAACUCAGGGAAGCCGUUCAAUACUGCGAAACUUGAGGGCAGCAGAGGGAGGUGGAAUUCCCGGAGUAGCGGUGAGAUGCGUAGAUAUCGGGAGGAACACCAGUGGCGAAGGCGGCCUCCUGGGCUGCUCCUGACGCUGAAGGCGAAAGCUAGGGGAGCGAACGGGAUUAGAAACCCCGGUAGUCCUAGCCGUAAACGAUGGAUGCUAGGUGUGGGGGGUGUAGAUUCCC